RNAcentral lists this ribosomal RNA (894 nucleotides) under uncultured eukaryote. RNAcentral describes it as "SSU rRNA". It matches the Rfam family "Eukaryotic small subunit ribosomal RNA", at positions 557 to 1454 of the family's 1831-position model. The record is from RNAcentral.
UAGUCCUGCAGCUUGAACGAUCCGCCGUCGUGGCUAGCAGCGCGGUAAUUCCAGCUCCAAUAGCGUAUAUUAAAGUUGUUGCAGUUAGAACGCUCGUAGUCGGAUUUCGGGGCGGUCCGACCGGUCUGCCGAUGGGUACGCACUGGUCGGAGCGUCCUUUUUGCCGGAGACCGUGCCUACUCUUAACUGAGCGGGGGCGGGAGACGGCACUUUUACUUUGAAAAAAUCAGAGUGUUUCAAGCAGGCAGCUCGCUCUUGCAUGGAUUAGCAUGGGAUAAUGAAAUAGGACUUUGGUGCUAUUUUGUUGGUUUCGAACACCGAAGUAAUGAUGAGAAGGGACAGUCAGGGGCACUCGUAUUCCGCCGAGAGAGGUGAAAUUCUCAGACCAGCGGAAGACGAACCACUGCGAAAGCAUUUGCCAGGGAUGUUUUCACUGAUCAAGAACGAAAGUUAGGGGAUCGAAGACGAUCAGAUACCGUCGUAGUCUUAACCAUAAACCAUGCCGACUAGGGAUUGGAGGAUGUUCACUGAUUGACUCCUUCAGCACCUUACGGGAAACUAAAGUCUUUGGGUUCCGGGGGGAGUAUGGUCGCAAGGCUGAAACUUAAAGGAAUUGACGGAAGGGCACCACCAGGUGUGGAGCCUGCGGCUUAAUUUGACUCAACACGGGGAAACUUACCAGGUCCAGACAUUUUGAGGAUUGACAGAUUGAGAGCUCUUUCAUGAUUAGAUGGGUGGUGGUGCAUGGCCGUUAUUAGUUGGUGGAGUGAUUUGUCUGGUUAAUUCCGUUAACGAACGAGACCUUAGCCUGCUAAAUAGUGACGCGAACUCUUUGUUCGCGGGCCACUUCUUAGAGGGACAACUUGUCUUCAACAAGUGGAAGUUUGAGGCAAU